CUGUGCACCAUUGCUGGGUGUGUUUUGGACAUUUUGGACAUCCCGGCGUCCGGCGGGUCUCGUGGGACUGGAACCCGGGUAGGUAUUUUGGACAAAAUUGGGACUUUACGUGAUUAUUCAGAAUGGAAAUGUGCUAACACUCGUGAUUUCGCCCUGUCUCUGUUUUGUCUGCGUUGAGGUACUCGAUGUCCGUCCUUGGCUGUCAGCAGUGGAAGAUUACAAGUUGUGUGCCUUUGCACAGACGCUUGGUUCCACCCCCUUUCCUUGGCAAGGAUUAUGAGUUAUUCUUCACCUGAAUGGGAAUAUAUGAACAUCCUAGCAGUCGGCAUCCUAAUGACAGCAGACCUUGUACAAAUGUCCUGCAGGCCAAUACAAAUGGACGGUUGUGGACGGUUGCAAAAUGGCUCCCGGGCCGCACUUUGGACCCCGGCACAGAUGUUGUGGGAGCAGAUCCAGGUUUCAUGUUCCAAAGUCAGCAGAGACACGAGUGAACGCUCGCAGCCUCCUCAUCAAGCACGGACUUGAUGAGGAGCGCCCUGGAGGAGCCACUGAGGACCAGAUGAGGCCAGACGGACAUGACGGGUCUGGAGGAGGGGGAGGGGCUGAUUGAUGGCUCCAGCUGUCCCGCAGGACCAAGCAACACGAGCGGACAGCUGGUCACCUGUAGCCCAGACAUGGGAUUGUCUGCCUUAACGACAGCACUUAUGCAACCAAUCACAGCCCUUUCCUGCCGCGUCAAGUGACAUUUGUUGCCUGGGACUCCUCCCCCUCCCCGUCCUGCCGCCAGCUGGCCAAUCAGGACGCACCGAGUUUACGUCGAGACCAAAGUCACUGUGAUGACACGCAAGAGUGCACACAAAUGUUGAUUUGCAUCCAAAUCAUGAUUCUUAUUCAUCUCCAUUCUGAAUACAUUCAUCAUUUUCA
Nerophis lumbriciformis (worm pipefish) is the source of this 924-nucleotide long non-coding RNA. RefSeq lists it as uncharacterized. NCBI's taxonomy places the organism in Eukaryota, Metazoa, Chordata, Actinopteri, Syngnathiformes, Syngnathidae. The record is from RefSeq and is a predicted model, not a curated record.